Molecule: ribosomal RNA, 147 nt
Filed under: uncultured Chlamydia sp.
Lineage: Bacteria; Pseudomonadati; Chlamydiota; Chlamydiia; Chlamydiales; Chlamydiaceae
Description: partial 16S ribosomal RNA
Rfam family: Bacterial small subunit ribosomal RNA
Source: RNAcentral
CCGCCCGUCACAUCAUGGGAGUUGGUUUUGCCUUAAGUCGUUGACUCAACCUGCAAAGGAGAGAGGCGCCCAAGGUGAGGCUGAUGACUGGGAUGAAGUCGUAACAAGGUAGCCCUACCGGAAGGUGGGGCUGGAUCACCUCCUUUU